RNAcentral lists this ribosomal RNA (465 nucleotides) under Vreelandella stevensii. RNAcentral describes it as "partial 16S ribosomal RNA". It matches the Rfam family "Bacterial small subunit ribosomal RNA", at positions 338 to 795 of the family's 1533-position model. The record is from RNAcentral. Lineage: Bacteria; Pseudomonadati; Pseudomonadota; Gammaproteobacteria; Oceanospirillales; Halomonadaceae.
CCUACGGGGGGCUGCAGUGGGGAAUAUUGGACAAUGGGCGAAAGCCUGAUCCAGCCAUGCCGCGUGUGUGAAGAAGGCCUUCGGGUUGUAAAGCACUUUCAGUGGGGAAGAAAGCCUUGGGGCUAAUACCCUCGAGGAAGGACAUCACCCACAGAAGAAGCACCGGCUAACUCCGUACCAGCAGCCGCGGUAAUACGGAGGGUGCGAGCGUUAAUCGGAAUUACUGGGCGUAAAGCGCGCGUAGGCGGUCUGAUAAGCCGGUUGUGAAAGCCCCGGGCUCAACCUGGGAACGGCAUCCGGAACUGUCAGGCUAGAGUGCAGGAGAGGAAGGUAGAAUUCCCGGUGUAGCGGUGAAAUGCGUAGAGAUCGGGAGGAAUACCAGUGGCGAAGGCGGCCUUCUGGACUGACACUGACGCUGAGGUGCGAAAGCGUGGGUAGCAAACAGGAUUAGAUACCCGGGUAGUC